GCCUGGCUAGCUCAGUUGGUAGCGCAUGGGCUUCUUGAUCCCAGGAUUGUGGGUUUGUACCCCAUGCACCCCA
This is a non-coding RNA of Pangasius djambal, 73 nucleotides long. Lineage: Eukaryota; Metazoa; Chordata; Actinopteri; Siluriformes; Pangasiidae. The record is from the annotation of a GenBank genome assembly.